Bos grunniens (domestic yak) is the source of this 79-nucleotide microRNA precursor. Lineage: Eukaryota; Metazoa; Chordata; Mammalia; Artiodactyla; Bovidae. The record is from Ensembl.
UCCUCCCCCUCUCCCCUCCAGUCCACUGGGCUCCUGGCAGGAAGCUCGGACCCAGGGGGACUGCGGUGAGUCAGCAGGA